UCUCCUUUUUCUCUGCUCCGAAUUCAACUAUGAUAAGUUCCCACGGUAACUCUCCUUCAAUUCACCUUAUGAACUGUUGAUGCACUAGAUUUGAUCGAUCUAGGCUUGUGAUCUAAUUUCUAAUCUCUUUGAGAUAAUUCACCAAACACAUUGCAGGCAUAAAUAAACAAAGACAAAGAAACCAAAAUUUACGUGGUUCGGCACAAGAGGCCUACAUCCACGGGGAGGAGGAGCAAUCCACUAUAAAUCCAUCCCGAAAAAUAGGUACAAUAUGAGGUAUAAAAUACCUUUAUUCGAAACCAACAAGAAGGAAACAGAGUAUCGAAUAGAAGGCAACCAAGAUCCAAUCGGAUCUACCAAUCUCAGCCUCGGCAAUAGAUCAAGAUAAAAUAACACCUGAGGUGAAGAUACCUUUCUCAACCCUCAGCAAAAAAUCAAGAUGAAUACCUCCUUACCAACCGAAGCAGCACAGGGUAUCUGUGAAACCGAGAAGGAAGAAGACAGGUAGACCACCAACCGAAGACCAACAGAAGAAAGCCAGGAAGCAACCCGCACAAGAGCACAAGCGGGAGAACGGCCAGAGAAACAGGCCCGCACAAGAGCACAAGCAGGAGAAAUAGCCAGAGAACAAAUCCGCACA
This 640-nucleotide long non-coding RNA is filed under the name Elaeis guineensis (African oil palm). RNAcentral's name for it is "long non-coding RNA (EGUI_LNC019822)". The record is from RNAcentral. Lineage: Eukaryota; Viridiplantae; Streptophyta; Magnoliopsida; Arecales; Arecaceae.